GUGCUGUGAAGAUCUAAUUUUCGUGUUCCAAAGAUAGUCUCUCAUGACACUGUGAUGGCACACAAUCCUCUAAGAAGGUCUGAGCAC
Small nucleolar RNA from Cornus florida, 87 nucleotides. RefSeq annotates it as small nucleolar RNA U61. The record is from RefSeq and is a predicted model, not a curated record. Lineage: Eukaryota; Viridiplantae; Streptophyta; Magnoliopsida; Cornales; Cornaceae. The transcript has a single exon.